RNAcentral lists this ribosomal RNA (386 nucleotides) under uncultured prokaryote. RNAcentral describes it as "bacterial SSU rRNA". It matches the Rfam family "Archaeal small subunit ribosomal RNA", at positions 339 to 725 of the family's 1478-position model. The record is from RNAcentral.
GCGCGAAAACUUUACAAUGCUGGCAACAGCGAUAAGGGAACCUCGAGUGCCAGGUUACAAAUCUGGCUGUCGAGAUGCCUAAAAAGCAUUUCAUAGCAAGGGCCGGGCAAGACCGGUGCCAGCCGCCGCGGUAACACCGGCGGCUCGAGUGGUAACCGUUAUUAUUGGGUCUAAAGGGCCUGUAGCCGGCCGGAAAAGUCUCUUGAGAAAUCUGGCAGCUUAACUGUCAGGCUUUCAGGAGAUACUGUCUGGCUCGAGGACGGGAGAGGUGAGAGGUACUUCAGGGGUAGGGGUGAAAUCUUGUAAUCCUUGAAGGACCACCAGUGGCGAAGGCGUCUCACCAGAACGGACCUGACGGCAAGGGACGAAAGCUAGGGGCACGAACC